This is a long non-coding RNA of Musa acuminata AAA Group (dessert banana), 575 nucleotides long. RefSeq lists it as uncharacterized. The record is from RefSeq and is a predicted model, not a curated record. The transcript has 2 exons. Lineage: Eukaryota; Viridiplantae; Streptophyta; Magnoliopsida; Zingiberales; Musaceae.
GAUUGGAGACCCGAUCACUUCAGCUUUCAUGAGUGGAUUCUGCUGUGUUCUCCCUUAAAAAAUGCCUCCGGUUGGUCGAGACAGAUAGUACAUACACGACGGUGGAGCAGCCACCUUCUGCUGUUUUGAGCUGUCUGUCGAUGCAAGCAACUCCUCGUCAGCUUUGUCGUCGGAGUCAUCAGCUUCCUCGCCCAUGACCUGAGGGAUUCCAGAUCGAGGUUGGACCAUCACGCACUAUAAAGUGUAGUGGAGAUACAUCCCUAGCUAGCAGAAACGCCUCGGAAGCGCAAGUCGACGAAGCAGGAGAGGAGACGAGGAAGAGAGCGACCGGAGAAAGCCUGAAGAGAUAAAAGAGUUGCGUACCUUUGGUCAUGUGGAGGAUCUCGUGCUUAAAGGUGGCGGCUUUGCUCACCGGUGGCCACGGCGACCGUGGAGUGAUCGGCACAUGCUUGCACCGCUGCGUGCCACAGGACGAGCACAGCCUUACUGUGUGGAAUAGUUAGUACAGUUAAGAUAAAAAUAUUGAGGCGAAGUUACUUUAAAAUAUAUAUCAUAAGCAAUAAUUUUGUGAUUGA